CUAACUUGUUUGUCAGUCAGCAAAUAAUUAGUUUAAUCAUAUGAAACUUGACAGCGUCUGUUCAUUUAAAAUCAAAACAAAUCCACGUUCAAAAGGUCCCCGUAAAACGUUAUCAAAGGUACCAGGAUUAUAAUUUGAUACGGCAGACGAGCUUUUCGUCUACAUAAGACUCAUCAGUGACGCUUAUAUCAAAUAUUUAAGUACAAAGUUUAAGAGCAUUGAGAAUCCAAAAUUCCAAAAAGUUGUGACAAAUACGGCUAAGUCAUUCGAAAUAAAUAAAAAAAAAAAAAAAAAACAGCCAUUAAGGACACUAGAAGAAAGUGUUUUCAAGCUGGGUAACCAUUAAUUCAAAAGUAAAAAGAAAAAAUAACGGCUGAUUUAUACUAAACAUAAUUAACGGAAAAUAAAAAACUAAAUACAUCAAGACAGCAAUCAACACCAACUGAAUUAAAGGCAUUCAAAAGAGAGACGAAAGAUACCAGAGGGACAGUCAAACUCAUAAAUCGAAAAGAAAAAAAACUGACAAUGCCAUGGCUAAAAAUGAAAAAGACAAACAGACAAGCAAUAGUACACAUGACACAACAUAAAAACUAAAGAAUAAGCAACGCGAACCCCAC
Molecule: long non-coding RNA, 617 nt
Filed under: Mytilus galloprovincialis (Mediterranean mussel)
Lineage: Eukaryota; Metazoa; Mollusca; Bivalvia; Mytilida; Mytilidae
Source: RNAcentral